Molecule: microRNA precursor, 80 nt
Filed under: Cercocebus atys (sooty mangabey)
Lineage: Eukaryota; Metazoa; Chordata; Mammalia; Primates; Cercopithecidae
Description: miRNA (ENSCATG00000018311.1)
Source: RNAcentral
GGAGAAUUGCUUGAACCCAGGAGGUGGAGGUUGCAGUGAGCUGAGAUCACGCCACUGCACUCCAGCCUGGGCGACAGAGU